GUGCCAGCCGCCGCGGUAAUACAGAGGUCCCAAGCGUUGUUCGGAUUCACUGGGCGUAAAGGGUGCGUAGGUGGCGAGGUAAGUCGGAUGUGAAAUCUCCGAGCUCAACUCGGAAAUGGCAUUGGAAACUACCUUGCUCGAGGAUCGGAGGGGGGACUGGAAUACUUGGUGUAGCAGUGAAAUGCGUAGAUAUCAAGUGGAACACCAGCGGCGAAGGCGAGUCCCUGGACGACUCCUGACACUGAGGCACGAAAGCUAGGGGAGCAAACAGGAUUAGAUACCCUCGUAGUCC
RNAcentral lists this ribosomal RNA (292 nucleotides) under uncultured bacterium. Its description in RNAcentral is "partial 16S ribosomal RNA". It matches the Rfam family "Bacterial small subunit ribosomal RNA", at positions 505 to 796 of the family's 1533-position model. The record is from RNAcentral.